This is a long non-coding RNA of Cucumis sativus (cucumber), 708 nucleotides long. RefSeq lists it as uncharacterized. The transcript is spliced from 4 exons. Lineage: Eukaryota; Viridiplantae; Streptophyta; Magnoliopsida; Cucurbitales; Cucurbitaceae. The record is from RefSeq and is a predicted model, not a curated record.
UAGUUUAUCAAAAUUUCAAUUUGCAAAAGGUAUAUUUGUGGAAUAAUUGAGUAGUUUUUAUUAUUAUAUUUUUUUGUUCAAAAAAAGAAUUCCGGAUGUAUCCUUGGGAUUGUGUAUAUUAGGUUCAAAGGCGCGCUUACAUAUUCCAAAUUCAGCGGGAAAUCGUGGAGCUUCGGCGCCUUCUCUUUCCGACGUCCAAAUCAAAGAAGUUUUAAAUGCAAAAGAAACCUGAUAGUUGAGACCAGGCUGCAGACCAUAUCGUGAGACAACUUGGGGCAAAGGAUAAAGAGGUCACUUUGGAAAAAAUAGACGUGUUCAUGAAUAAUUCAAAAUGGCUUUUGAAAUAUUCUCUCAAAUCCUUCACUCAUCAAGUCUUACAACUCAGUUCUAAAUCCGAAGAAUAACAGGUCAACAAUAGUGGUAAUCUGAAUCGUGUUCGAGUGGAGAUUGGUGUGGUGCAGGCGCUUUAAAGCUCGAACACGCGUACAAGGUCAAAUUUGGAAUUACUCACUUGACUAAAGCAUAUUUACUCACCAGGUACUUUUAUGUAUAUAUAUGAUGAUUUUUAAAGUGCAAUUAAAGUUUUCUUACUGACUGUAUAAGUGAAAGAAUAUCAUGAGUACAUAAGUAACAUUUUUGAGUGAAAUUAAAAACAAAAUUACGAAAAUUUAAGUACAAAUAGGAUAAUAUUAUACUAUCUUCAGCAUA